GAUGAAGAACGCAGCGAAAUGCGAUAAGUAGUGUGAAUUGCAGAAUUCAGUGAAUCAUCGAAUCUUUGAACGCACAUUGCGCCCUUUGGUAUUCCUUAGGGCAUGCCUGUUCGAGCGUCAUUUAAACCUUCAAGCUAAGCUUGGUGUUGGGUGACUGUCCGCUUCACGGCGGACUCGCCUCAAAAUUAUUGGCGGCCGGUACAUUGGCUUCGAGCGCAGCAGAAACGCGAACUCGGGCCCGUCGUAUUGGCUCCCAGAAGCUAUCUUCACAAUUUUGACCUCGGAUCAGGUCGGGAUACCCGCUGAACUUAAGCAUAUCAAUAAGCGGAGGA
RNAcentral lists this unclassified non-coding RNA (332 nucleotides) under soil metagenome. RNAcentral's name for it is "partial contains 5.8S ribosomal RNA, internal transcribed spacer 2, and large subunit ribosomal RNA". The stretch from base 1 to 120 matches the Rfam family "5.8S ribosomal RNA", at positions 35 to 154 of the family's 154-position model. The record is from RNAcentral.